This 424-nucleotide ribosomal RNA is filed under the name uncultured bacterium. Its description in RNAcentral is "bacterial SSU rRNA". It matches the Rfam family "Bacterial small subunit ribosomal RNA", at positions 357 to 772 of the family's 1533-position model. The record is from RNAcentral.
GGGAAUUGUUCGCAAUGGGCGCAAGCCUGACGACGCAACGCCGCGUGGAGGACGAAGACCUUCGGGUCGUAAACUCCUUUCGAUCGAGACGCACGGCCUCCGGGUGAACAAUCCGGAGGAGUGACGGUACCGAGAGAAGAAGCCCCGGCUAACUCCGUGCCAGCAGCCGCGGUAAUACGGAGGGGGCUAGCGUUAUUCGGAAUUACUGGGCGUAAAGGGCGCGUAGGCGGCCUGAUAGGUCAAAGGUGAAAUCCCUCGGCUCAACCGAGGAACUGCCUUUGAAACCAUCGGGCUCGAGGCCGGGAGGGGGUAGCGGAAUUCCUGGUGUAGCGGUGAAAUGCGUAGAUAUCAGGAGGAACACCGGUGGCGAAGGCGGCUACCUGGACCGGUUCUGACGCUGAGGCGCGAAAGCGUGGGGAGCAAA